Molecule: long non-coding RNA, 221 nt
Filed under: Olea europaea (common olive)
Lineage: Eukaryota; Viridiplantae; Streptophyta; Magnoliopsida; Lamiales; Oleaceae
Description: long non-coding RNA (OEUR_LNC008797)
Source: RNAcentral
CCAUGGCAUCGUGCAUCCAUCCAUCAAUCUCAUCCUAUGGCCCAGGUAUGUUCAUGUUUAAAGUUAAUGAUUAUGUUUAUGUUAUGAUGCUUUGAUAUGAUUUAGAGAUGUGUUAUUUAAAGAUAUGUAAUGGAUUUGGGCAAAAGCUAAGGGCUUAAAGGGAAUUGCAUGAUAUGAAAGUUUAAAUAUUUGCACGUUUUCUUUAAGCAAAGAAAAAGUAU